CUUUGGCGCGCUCGCAGCUUGCCGGGCUCUGCGAUCCCUCCAGUGGGCGUCUCCCGGAGCAGCGUCCCGCCUGCCCACUGAGCAGCUCUCAGCAGGGUGAGCUGGCCCCUCUCCCUGCUCUGCCUUUUUUCAACUUCGGCGAGGUCGGGAAGUCCGUUCAUGCAGAGUUACCAAGGUUGUCACGUUGAGAUGCUGGACUUGAAAUCUGGAGUCCUGCUUCCUGUGGCUAGAUAAUCCUGGGUCUGUGCGUCUUAUAAAUGGAAAUGAAAGGACCUGCCUUUCCUGUUGUUGAGGUCAUCGGGAAGAUCAAGUAAGACAAUGUUCUGUAUGGGGGAAAUGCUCUAAAAACUGAAAGCUGUGUUGUGUUGGUUCAUUUUCUCCAAGAUAUCCAGGAGGCAGAAGAUUGAAAUGGUUCAGGGAUGGAAGGUAAUAGGUAAAAGGUUUCCAGACCACCUGUCUGGAAAAAAUCCUUCAAGCAAUUAGGUAAUAGUCACUGACUCAGAGAAUUCACUUUCUUUUAAGUCACAAAUUACACUAUUAGUGCUCCUGAUGAGAAAGAAUGUUGACUGAACCUAGUGUCUGGGUAUUGCAAAAGUGGUUUGUUGGCCACAGCCUAGUAAUUUUGUGGCUCUUGGCCCUACACACUUGAGCUUUUAGGUUUUUUUCAGGAGAGGAAAUCUGCAAUACAGGCUCACCAAUAUCUCUGUGGAGGUUCUUAUUCCAGGAGAUAGGGUGGUGGCCUCUCAGGAAAUCAUCUGUGUCAGACAAUCUGAUCCAAUUAUAAAACUAUAUCCAAUUAUCCAAAUUAUAAAAAUAACCUCUCAAGUUAUGUUGGUGGAUACAGUUGGAAGAUAUUAUUGUUCAGUGACAACAGUACCAAUUAUCCAUAUAUAUCAAAUGUAUAUAUGCUUGAUACAUAGAUGUAUGUUUAUAUGUAUGCAUCUGGCCAUUCUAUGUAUCAUGUGUCAAUCAAUCAUCUAUCUAUCUGUCUAUCUAUCUAUCUAUCUAUCUAUCUAUCUAUCUAUCAUCCAUCUAUCUGUCUCUCGCUGGUUGUGCUGGAUGCCAUGGGGCCUGGAAAGCAGGAAAAAAAAAUGUUCAUUGCAGAUUGUAGAACCAGUCCCUUUGUUUAAUCCAUAUAGUUUUAAACAUGUUUUUGACUUAAUUUAACUGGUUUUAUAUACAAAGGAAAGCAGGACUAUUACAUAUGAGGCACUACUCAUAUGCCUCACUGGACCUGCUAUUAAAUUACCCCAUAGAGAGUAAAAUAAUUGUGGUCUUAAAAUAUGAAAAAGAAAACACAACAGACAAUAUUUUAUGUGGCACCUUGUGCUUUUUCUUAGAGCAAUUUACAUUUUCUCUGUACUUUUUGUAUUAUUAAGACUUACCUUUUCCCUCUUACUCUUUGUAGACUUCAGUUAACAAAUUUUAGGGGUGAAAUAAUGAAAAAAAUAAGGAAGUUGUGCAUACAUAUCCUGGAAUAAUCAUUCUCUUUCAUUUACCAAUCUUCUUUCCUUUCACUUCAUAAUUCCAGAUAUUUGAGAAGUACUUCAGUUCAUGGAAGCAGCUAUCUCCUUCACUUACUAGCAGUAAGACUUUGUUUUCAUCUUCGAGUUUCAAAUUCUUCACUGUAAAAUCUUGGUGAUUAAACACAAUGCAGUUGCUGCAAAGAUUAUAUAAAUGGUUGUUUAAAUUUCUGGCAUUUUAUCGGUGUUCAAAACAUUUUCUUUUUUUCAUACAUGUAAAUCCUCCAAAUUACCAGCUAUUUUACCAUUAACAUUUUCCCUUCCAAU
Molecule: long non-coding RNA, 1790 nt
Filed under: Homo sapiens (human)
Lineage: Eukaryota; Metazoa; Chordata; Mammalia; Primates; Hominidae
Description: HSALNT0368727
Source: RNAcentral